This 1282-nucleotide long non-coding RNA is filed under the name Anas platyrhynchos platyrhynchos (common mallard). RNAcentral's name for it is "lncRNA (ENSAPLG00000029508.1)". The record is from RNAcentral. Lineage: Eukaryota; Metazoa; Chordata; Aves; Anseriformes; Anatidae.
GGUGGGAGGUCUGGAUGCUCUGGCGUGGCUGUGCCUGCACGCCUUGGUGCAAUCCAGCUCCCUGCAGCUCCGUUUCCUUUCCAAGAGCUGUACCACAACUAACUAAUAAUAACAGUGCUGUUGCUGGGGGAAAAAAACAUCCUUGUGCGGCAAACUCCUUGCUCCCUGCUGAGAGAUGCUGUGGCUGCCACCCAGGACUGAAGCUGAGAUGUGCUGUGCAGGCAGCUCAGAUGGUAUCGGAGCUGUCACUGAAACCUGCAUUUUGAGGCCUUCAGCAUCACAGUGGCAUCUGGUCCUUCAGCCCGGAUGCAGAAAGAAUCAUGGAGCAACUUCUUCAUGUUGAGGGGACAAAGAUUUUAGAUUGAGUUCUGUUGUAAUAAGCUUGGCAACGCCUCGACAAGUUUGCAGGGCAUACCUAUAAGGUAUGUAACUACUUGGAAAGCUGAGUUUGGUCUGAGGGUGGGAAUUUGUAUAACGUUUCAGAGGUUUAGCUACUAGCUGGGGACCAACCUUUAAAAAGGGGGGUUGCCUCUGUGUGGCCCAUUACAUAUUUUGCUUAGACACAGCACCCUUGGUCUUGCUUGACAUUUCAUUCAAGCUUCUGUCCUAAUCUGGGACCAUCACUAAAGCCCCACUGCACUGUGCAUUUUGGAUGUGGACCCAACGAAUGGCUCAGACCUUUCUUCAGUGAGGAAGAACAUCCCUGGAGGACCAGCGAUGGACACUGCUGUCGUGCUCUUGCAUUCAAAGUGUUCUGUGUGAAGCUCAGUGUUUUCCAUGGCAAGAAAGACUUUAAUGCUUAAAGAAGCAUAAACUGGUACAGAAAGGCACUUAACACUACUUUGGGCAUGUCUCCAGUGUUUUGUGACAGCUCCUGAGUGCUGUGCAGUAAGCAUGGGAAUACUGCAAAGCUCACAGCAGGGAGGUGGUUAGCUGGGUUCCUCCAAGUCUUCAGGUGUGCAGAAACAUUACUCAUCCUGGAGCUCUCUGGUGGUAGAAAUAUUGAAUCCUGUUAGGAGUGUGAGUAAUAGUUUUGCAUGAAAUUAAAUCUACUUCUCAAAUCAGUCAGGUUCACUUUUUUUCUUUUUAGAAUGCAGUAGCUCCUGCAGACACAAAGCUAAAUGAAUGAGAAAAUUCUUUACAAAAACAGUAAGAUGGAGCCUACUCCUCCUGGGGUCUGCUAUGGACUUCAUGGGAGAUUGAAGAAAAAGGAUUUGUUCUUCUUUGAAGAAGUUCCUUAUGUGCAAAAAUAUGUGCUGCCUAUUUAAAUGCUGUGUGAACA